AGAGUUUGAUCCUGGCUCAGGAUGAACGCUGGCGGCGUGCCUAACACAUGCAAGUCUAAGGAGAACGUAUCUUCGGAUACAAGUAAACUGGCGAACGGGUGAGUAACGCGUAGGCUACCUGCCCUGUAGAUUGGAAUAACCUCGUGAAAAUGGGGCUAAUACCAUAUAAUAUUGAAAAAUCAAAGGAGGCUUCGGCUUUCGCUACAGGAUGGGCCUGCGUCUGAUUAGCUAGAUGGUAGAGUAAAAGACUACCAUGGCAAUGAUCAGUAGCUGGUCUGAGAGGAUGAUCAGCCACACUGGGACUGAGAUACGGCCCAGACUCCUACGGGAGGCAGCAGUGAGGAAUUUUGCGCAAUGGACGAAAGUCUGACGCAGCAACGCCGCGUGAUCGAAGAAGCUUUGCGGAGUGUAAAGAUCUGUCAUAAGGGAAGAAUAAUGUAUAUACUAACACUAUAUACAUCUGACGGUACCUUAUAAGAAAGCCCCGGCUAACUUCGUGCCAGCAGCCGCGGUAAUACGAGGGGGGCAAGCGUUGUCCGGAUUUAUUGGGCGUAAAGGGCUCGUAGGUGGGCUAGUAAGUCAAAAUUGAAAUCCAAUGGCUUAACCAUUGUCACGGUUUUGAUACUGCUAGUCUUGAGUGAAAUAGAGGUAAGUGGAAUUCCUGGUGUAGCGGUGAAAUGCGUAGAUAUCAGGAGGAACGCCAAAGGAGAAGUCAGCUUACUGGAUUUAUACUGACACUGAGGAGCGAAAGCGUGGGUAGCAAACAGGAUUAGAGACCCUGGUAGUCCACGCUGUAAACGAUGAGUACUAGAUGGUGGGUGAUUCGACCCUCUCACUGUUACAGUUAACGCAUUAAGUACUCCGCCUGGGAAGUACGUUCGCAAGAAUGAAACUCAAAGGAAUUGACGGGGACCCGCACAAGCGGUGGAUUAUGUGGUUUAAUUCGAUGCAACGCGAAGAACCUUACCUAGAUUUGACAUGUUUAAGAAAUCCUCGUGAAAGCGAGGACCUUUUUAAGUUUACUUAAAAACUUUUACACAGGUGAUGCAUGGCUGUCGUCAGCUCGUGUCGUGAGAUGUUCG
This 1082-nucleotide ribosomal RNA is filed under the name marine metagenome. RNAcentral describes it as "bacterial SSU rRNA". It matches the Rfam family "Bacterial small subunit ribosomal RNA", at positions 8 to 1078 of the family's 1533-position model. The record is from RNAcentral.